RNAcentral lists this long non-coding RNA (1496 nucleotides) under Phasianus colchicus (ring-necked pheasant). RNAcentral describes it as "lncRNA (ENSPCLG00000020053.1)". Lineage: Eukaryota; Metazoa; Chordata; Aves; Galliformes; Phasianidae. The record is from RNAcentral.
GCAUAGCUGAGAAUAGAGUUCAUUCUGAACGCUUAGGGCUCUCUUGACCUAUAGAUAAUCAGAGUAGAUUUGAAAAGCAGCCAGAAACAGAACAUGAACCUCUGAGGCAUCUCCCCCUGUGGUCUGGAGAACAAAACUGAUCUUUAAGGACAGAUGUAAAGAAGAAAAGUUGUAUUAGUUGUGAUUCCUGAGCCACGUCCCCUGAACUCGACUGAUGCAUUCAAUCCAUUCUGUCAAAACAGAAAAACAUUCUGAGGUCCUCUUUGCUCCUACUCUUCCUCCCAGGCAGAACCAGAAGUGCUUUGGGCCACCACUGCCCUUUGCCUUCUACAGCAGCUCCCUUUGGUUGCCUAUGGCAGUGCAACAGGGGGAGAUGCAACGGGUAAGCUGGACUGCGGGCAAAGUCUUCAAAGCUGCCAAGCUGCUGCCCUCUGAAUAUCAGCAAAUGCAAUGGAUGCACCCCUUGUCACCUCAUGAGACACGAGACUACGGUUGAAGGCUGUCCUACAAGAAGACAGCAGUGCUGAGCUCCAACUUCAGCUUGAAUCACAUCCUUCUUUAUGCUAAUUUAAUUGUACGUAAAGAAAAUCAACACCCAGAAGCGAAGCCGUACAAUGCAGCUGUACUCAGACAAUGACAGAGAAGUAAAGAAGGAAAGUGUGCUACUGAAGAAAACCUCUUAAAAGGCAGCUCCUCUUCCUUUAAGAGAUCCUUUCCUGAGCACAUCCUCGUCCAAAACCAGCCAGCCAAUUCCCCCUCCAACCGCCAGGCCUAACUGUCACCACUGUCACUUGUGGCAACCCUCAGCCCUACAGCUACCAGGGACAUGGCAUGAUGGCCCUGGUGGGCAGUGGGGGCUGGGCUGUGACUCUGCUUGUGGGACAGAUAGGAUGCCUUGAAUUCCAGCCACUGGCAUCAGAUGUACUCGGUACAUCUUGGCCUCCAGGGGAAGUUGGCAAGAGGCACCCACAUGAGCAACCACAGUGACAGCCCCAUCAUCCUGCAGUACCCCUGUGAACUGCUUGGUUCUGGUAGGGAUCCAAAGGUAUCUGUACCAGGGAAAGGAUGUUUUCAUCAGUAUAAAUGCUUUUGAGAGCAGCCUCUUCCCACUCUCCACCCCGGAAGAAUUUGAGGCCAAAGAAGCCAUUGUCAGUGCAGAUGCCUUGUGAACACAGUGGGAGUUGCAAUGGUGGUCAGUGGUUGGGUCUACCUGUACUCCAAGAACUUCGACAGGUGGUCCGAACAGCAGGAGUCAAUUCUCCUGGGUCUGAACUGUCAGAUUCCCAUUGCUGCUACUUUGGGAAAGACUCACAGUGCCAGGAGCUCAGCUAAGCCUUUUGCUUACAACACCAGACACUCAGUCUCCAACUGACACAUCUUCCUUUGGAAGGACAAGGGUUGCACUUUUAUGCACGCCAAGAGCAAUACAAGAGAUAAAGGAGUGUUACUCAGGGUCUAUAACUUCAUUGCCCUUUCUGUGACCAGCUUGCCUAUCA